CACAUUUUGUUUUACAGUAUCGUAUAAUGUGGAAAGAUCGAAGUUGCAGAGAGCGGACAACUGCAAAUUGAGAUUCUGAAAAUGAGGAAUAAAGGUGAUCAUAGGGGAGGGAAAGAGUGUUUUACAUUUGUAAUCGGAUGAUGAUGAAUAAAUGUCAGUGACACCACCACCAAGGCCUUUAAAAGUGACAGUGGCAAUGGCAGGACUAUUCUGCAAGCAUCACAACAGUAACUACAAGAUCCCCCAACACUUGCACCAUAUCUACAGAGGCUGUCGUGAAAUUCCGUCGUUUCUCACGGUAGAGGUACGAAAGACAUAUGCCGCCUGAAUGAGGACAGCAUCGGACAGAGAU
Mya arenaria is the source of this 352-nucleotide long non-coding RNA. RefSeq lists it as uncharacterized. Lineage: Eukaryota; Metazoa; Mollusca; Bivalvia; Myida; Myidae. The transcript has 3 exons. The record is from RefSeq and is a predicted model, not a curated record.